RNAcentral lists this ribosomal RNA (484 nucleotides) under uncultured bacterium. RNAcentral's name for it is "partial 16S ribosomal RNA". It matches the Rfam family "Bacterial small subunit ribosomal RNA", at positions 30 to 507 of the family's 1533-position model. The record is from RNAcentral.
AUUGAACGCUGGCGGCAGGCCUAACACAUGCGAGUCGAGCGGAUGAAGGGAGCUUGCUCCUGGAUUCAGCGGCGGACGGGUGAGUAAUGCCUAGGAAUCUGCCUGGUAGUGGGGGAUAACGUCCGGAAACGGGCGCUAAUACCGCAUACGUCCUGAGGGAGAAAGUGGGGGAUCUUCGGACCUCACGCUAUCAGAUGAGCCUAGGUCGGAUUAGCUAGUUGGUGGGGUAAAGGCCUACCAAGGCGACGAUCCGUAACUGGUCUGAGAGGAUGAUCAGUCACACGGGAACUGAGACACGGUCCAGACUCCUACGGGAGGCAGCAGUGGGGAAUAUUGGACAAUGGGCGAAAGCCUGAUCCAGCCAUGCCGCGUGUGUGAAGAAGGUCUUCGGAUUGUAAAGCACUUUAAGUUGGGAGGAAGGGCAGUAAGUUAAUACCUUGCUGUUUUGACGUUACCAACAGAAUAAGCACCGGCUAACUUCGUG